GGCGCCAUCGUCUAGCCAGGCCUAGGACACCAGGUUUUCAUCCUGGCGACUGGGGUUCAAAUCCCCAUGGCGUCACCA
RNAcentral lists this transfer RNA (78 nucleotides) under Planctomycetota bacterium. RNAcentral's name for it is "tRNA-Glu". It matches the Rfam family "tRNA". From Rfam's summary of the family: Transfer RNA (tRNA) molecules are approximately 80 nucleotides in length. Lineage: Bacteria; Pseudomonadati; Planctomycetota. The record is from RNAcentral.